AUGUCCUUCGUCGCCGUGCGGUCGAGGCACGGCCCGUGGAUCGUCGGCGUCGGCGGCAACGCACCCAUUGACUACGGCCCCGAGACCAUCGUCUUCGACACCAGGACGCACCAGGUGAUCCCGGGACCGAAGCUCGUGUCGACCAAGCUCUGCCCGAUCCUGCUACCGGUCGGCGACAGGAUCUAUGCCCUGACACGUUACCCUGCCAUGAAGGGGGGUAUCAAUUUCGUGCCUUGGUUCCAGGUGCUCGAUCUCUCCCAGGCGCGAGUGGUCAGUGGCCGUCUCGUGGACUGCAAAUGGGAGCAGCUGCCCCGGCCGCCCUGCUUCCCCUGGGAGCUCUCCCCAAGGCACUACAUCUUCCCGCCGAUGGUCAGGGUCAGGUCCUUUGUAUCCGUGAGCUCCUGCAUUCUGGUGUCGAUGGAUGAACAGAAGGGCACGCACAUGUUCAACUUGGAGACACAGCAAUGGUCGAAACUGGACGACAAGAAUCUGCCAUUCACCGGAGGCGCCGUCCCUCAUGGCCCCCUGUUCCUUGGCUUUUCAACUGCCGCCAAAAGGAUCGCCGCUUACAACAUCACAGUCUGCGCCACCGACUCACCAAGCCCAAGCAUCACAGCAGGGUCCCUAUCCUUGUCAAUUACUGAGUUCCCGGUGGUGGAUGAGGCAGGGGAGGAGGUCGUUAGCAAUGGCAAAUUUGUUUCCCUCGGGAACCAUGGCUUCUGUUCGUUUAGAUGUCGCACCGAUGACCUUGUGCUCGGUACUCUUGAGCAUACACGGGAACUUGUCACCAUGAGAGCAUACGCAACAGAGGAACACCUCUCACAAGAUCACCUCAAGUCUGUUCGCAACGUAGUGAUCUCCAGCCAAAUGGAACAGGUUUACAGCGUCCGCGAUUCACUUCGGGGACUUUCUUGGCCAUCCUUGGUAGAUGUGAUAUCCCUGUGA
RNAcentral lists this ribosomal RNA (945 nucleotides) under Triticum aestivum (bread wheat). Its description in RNAcentral is "partial small subunit ribosomal RNA". Lineage: Eukaryota; Viridiplantae; Streptophyta; Magnoliopsida; Poales; Poaceae. The record is from RNAcentral.